This 160-nucleotide ribosomal RNA is filed under the name Acremonium potronii. Its description in RNAcentral is "partial large subunit ribosomal RNA". It matches the Rfam family "Eukaryotic large subunit ribosomal RNA", at positions 99 to 261 of the family's 3401-position model. The record is from RNAcentral. Lineage: Eukaryota; Fungi; Ascomycota; Sordariomycetes; Hypocreales; Bionectriaceae.
CGGCAACAGCUCAAAUUUGAAAUCUGGCCCUCUGGGUCCGAGUUGUAAUUUGUAGAGGAUGCUUCUGGCGCGGUGCCUUCCGAGUUCCCUGGAACGGGACGCCAUAGAGGGUGAGAGCCCCGUCUGGUUGGACGCCUAGCCUCUGUGAAGCUCCUUCGAC